RNAcentral lists this ribosomal RNA (306 nucleotides) under uncultured Peredibacter sp. Its description in RNAcentral is "bacterial SSU rRNA". It matches the Rfam family "Bacterial small subunit ribosomal RNA", at positions 1033 to 1340 of the family's 1533-position model. Lineage: Bacteria; Pseudomonadati; Bdellovibrionota; Bacteriovoracia; Bacteriovoracales; Bacteriovoracaceae. The record is from RNAcentral.
GAGAGGUGCAGCAUGGCUGUCGUCAGCUCGUGUUGUGAAAUGUUGGGUUAAGUCUCGCAACGAGCGCAACCCCUAUCGUCUGUUGCCAGCAUUAAGUUGGGCACUCUGACGAGACUGCCUGGGUUAACCAGGAGGAAGGUGGGGAUGACGUCAGGUCCUCAUGGCCCUUACGUCUAGGGCUACACACGUAAUACAAUGGCGCGUACAGAGGGAAGCGAACUCGCAAGGGGGAGCAAAUCUCAAAAAGCGCGCCUCAGUUCGGAUUGGAGUCUGCAACUCGACUCCAUGAAGUUGGAAUCGCUAGUA